UGUGGGCAUCCCUGUACCCCUGGAAUCAUCCAGUUCUGAAGGCACAGUUUGUAGAUGCAAAAGUGCCAGGGGCUUCUUGUGAACAGACCCGAGGCCUAGGAAGGUACAAGCCUGGAUGAGGUGUGUCCUGUACCUGAAAGAGAUGGUGGAGUUGUUGGGGUCACUACGUCCACCCUGUUAACCAUACCUUGUAUAGGGAGCGG
RNAcentral lists this ribosomal RNA (203 nucleotides) under uncultured eukaryote. RNAcentral's name for it is "partial small subunit ribosomal RNA". The record is from RNAcentral.